UUGAAUCUGGUAUCAAGUGUCACUCUCUCCAAGUCCGCAUCGGAGGCUUCUCCACAGAGCUUACCUCAUACUCCAACGACCCCAACCGCCCCCCUGACUCCCGUCACCCAAGGCCCCUCUGUCAUCACCACCACCAGCAUGCACACGGUGGGACCCAUCCGCAGGCGGUACUCAGACAAAUACAACGUGCCCAUUUCGUCAGAUAUUGCGCAGAACCAAGAAUUUUAUAAGAACGCAGAAGUUAGACCACCAUUUACAUAUGCAUCUUUAAUUAGGCAGGCCAUUCUCGAAUCUCCAGAAAAGCAGCUAACACUAAAUGAAAUCUAUAACUGGUUCACACGAAUGUUUGCUUACUUCCGACGCAACGCAGCCACAUGGAAGAAUGCAGUGCGUCAUAAUCUUAGUCUUCACAAGUGUUUUGUGCGAGUAGAAAACGUUAAAGGGGCAGUAUGGACAGUGGAUGAAGUAGAAUUCCAAAAACGAAGGCCACAAAAGAUCAGUGGUAACCCUUCCCUUAUUAAAAACAUGCAGAGCAGCCACGCCUACUGCACACCUCUCAAUGCAGCUUUACAGAACUGUUCAGGUUUCAUCUCUGAACACUUGUUUUUGGCAUCUUCUUCAGUAGCCCAAAACUGUCCUGCCGUUUUCCAAGAACACUUUCCGUCCGUAAUGAGGCAAGGGGAAUAAAUUGAUAUAAAUUCAUGAUUUGAGAAGUGGAUUGUUUCCCUCUCUUCUACGAGUUUGGAUCCCUGAUCAGUAGACAGACACAUAAGACAA
Molecule: small RNA, 777 nt
Filed under: Pongo abelii (Sumatran orangutan)
Lineage: Eukaryota; Metazoa; Chordata; Mammalia; Primates; Hominidae
Description: processed transcript
Source: RNAcentral